RNAcentral lists this ribosomal RNA (1473 nucleotides) under uncultured bacterium. Its description in RNAcentral is "bacterial SSU rRNA". It matches the Rfam family "Bacterial small subunit ribosomal RNA". The record is from RNAcentral.
GACGAACGCUGGCGGCAGGCUUAACACAUGCAAGUCGCACGAGAACGCUCCGGCUUCGGCCGGGGCAAGUACAGUGGCGGACGGGUGCGUAUCGCGUAGAUAACCUGCCCACAGGCGCGGGAUAACCACGGGAGACCGUGGCUAAUACCGCACGUCGUCUGGACCCCGCAUGGGGACCAGAUGAAAGCCUUCGGGCGCCUUUGGAUGGGUCUACGUUGGAUUAGCUUGUUGGUGAGGCAACGGCUCACCAAGGCAACGAUCCAUAGCUGGUCUGAGAGGACGAUCAGCCACACUGGGACUGAGACACGGCCCAGACUCCUACGGGAGGCAGCAGUGGGGAAUCUUGCACAAUGGGGUCACCCCUGAUGCAGCCAUGCCGCGUGGAGGAAGACACCCCUAUGGGGCGUAAACUCCUUUUCUGAAUGAAGAAACCCCUGUAGGUUCAGGGCGCGACGGUAGUUCAGGAAUAAGCACCGGCUAACUCCGUGCCGGCAGCCGCGGUAAUACGGAGGGUGCAAGCGUUGUCCGGAAUCACUGGGUGUAAAGGGUGUGCAGGCGGGGCAACAAGUCGGAUGUGAAACCCCAUGGCUCAACCAUGGAGGUGCAUUCGAAACUGUUGCUCUUGAGUCCCGGAGAGGCUGUCGGAAUUCGUGGUGUAGCGGUGAAAUGCGUAGAUAUCACGAGGAACACCAGAGGCGAAAGCGGGCAGCUGGACGGGUACUGACGCUCAGGCACGAAAGUGUGGGGAGCAAACAGGAUUAGAUACCCUGGUAGUCCACGCCGUAAACGAUGAACGCUCGCCGUUGCCCCGGUUAAGGGGCAGUGGCUAAGUUAACGCGUUAAGCGUUCCACCUGGGGAGUACGAUCGCAAGGUUGAAACUCAAAGGAAUUGACGGGGGCCCGCACAAGCGGUGGAGCAUGUGGCUCAAUUCGAUGCAACGCGAAGAACCUUACCUAGGCUCGAACGCUAAAGGACCGCUCCUGAAAGGGAGCUUCCCCUUUGGGGCCUUUAGCGAGGUACUGCAUGGCUGUCGUCAGCUCGUGUCGUGAGAUGUUGGGUUAAGUCCCGCAACGAGCGUAACCCUUGUCGCUAGUUACCAGCGGGUAAUGCCGGGGACUCUAGUGAGACCGCCUGCGCAAGCAGUGAGGAAGGUGGGGAUGACGUCAAGUCAUCAUGGUCCUUACGCCUAGGGCUGCACACGUGCUACAAUGGCCGGUACAACGAGCAGCCACCUCGCGAGAGGGAGCGAAUCUCUGAAAGCCGGUCCCAGUUCGGAUUGGAGUCUGCAACUCGACUCCAUGAAGCAGGAAUCGCUAGUAAUCGCGGAUCAGCAAUGCCGCGAUGAAUCCGUUCCCGGGCCUUGUACACACCGCCCGUCAAGCCAUGGAAGCUGAGAGCACCCGAAGUCCGUGACUCAACUCCGGCGUUAGCUGGAGGGAGAGCGGCCGAAGGUGAGCUCAGUGACUGGGGCU